GACGAACGCUGGCGGCGUGCUUAACACAUGCAAGUCGAACGGAUCACAUUGCUUCGGUUUUGUGGUGAGUGGCGAACGGGUGAGUAACACGUGAGUAACCUGCCCCCUUCUUUGGGAUAACGUCGGGAAAUCGGCGCUAAUACUGGAUAUUCUGGUUUCCUCGCAUGGGGUUUCUGGGAAAGGUUUUCUGGUGGGGGAUGGGCUCGCGGCCUAUCAGCUUGUUGGUGGGGUGAUGGCCUACCAAGGCGGUGACGGGUAGCCGGCCUGACGAGGGUGUCCGGCCACACUGGGACUGAGACACGGCCCAGACUCCUACGGGAGGCAGCAGUGGGGAAUAUUGCACAAUGGGCGCAAGCCUGAUGCAGCGACGCCGCGUGAGGGAUGACGGCCUCGGUUGUAACCGUCUUUCUAGUUACAGAACAAGGACCGUCGGUUCGGUAGGGUAGUGUGUCGAGAGAAGACGCCGGCGUACGUACGUAGCCACGCGAGCCGCGGUAAACGGUAACGUAGCGUCGAGCGGC
This 521-nucleotide ribosomal RNA is filed under the name uncultured bacterium. RNAcentral's name for it is "bacterial SSU rRNA". It matches the Rfam family "Bacterial small subunit ribosomal RNA", at positions 34 to 540 of the family's 1533-position model. The record is from RNAcentral.